Molecule: ribosomal RNA, 527 nt
Filed under: uncultured bacterium
Lineage: Bacteria
Description: bacterial SSU rRNA
Rfam family: Bacterial small subunit ribosomal RNA
Source: RNAcentral
AAUAGAUACCCUGGUAGUCCUGGCCGUAAACGAUGACCACUCGAUGUACGAGGUAUCGACCCCUUGUGCGUCGCAAGCUAACGCGAUAAGUGGUCCGCCUGGGGAGUACGGUCGCAAGAUUAAAACUCAAAGGAAUUGACGGGGACCCGCACAAGCAGCGGAGCGUGUGGUUUAAUUCGAUGCAACGCGAAGAACCUUACCAGGACUUGACAUGCUCUUGCACCACCCGUAACGGGGUGUGCCCGCAAGGGACAGGAGCACAGGUGCUGCAUGGCUGUCGUCAGCUCGUGUCGUGAGAUGUUGGGUUAAGUCCCGCAACGAGCGCAACCCCCGAUGGUUAGUUGUACUUGUCUAACCAGACUGCCACUCUCAAAGUGGAGGAAGGUGGGGAUGACGUCAAGUCAGCACGGCCCUUACGUUCUGGGCGACACACACGCUACAAUGGCCGGGACAACGAGUCGCCAACCCGGCAGGGGGAGCCAAUCUCAGCAAACCCGGUCUCAGUUCAGAUUGUAGGCUGCAACCCG